CUUUCAUUAUCACCUCAACGCUUUUCACUAUCUUCUUCGAGAUCAAAGAUCGUUAUAACACACUGAGAUUGUCUUAUCAGGUACUUGGCGUGCAAGUUGUCAAUUUGUGAUGAUAAAGUCGAGUCUGGUAUAAUUUUCAUUUGCAACUCCAGAGUUGAUCUUUGCACUGUUUCUGCUAUACUAUUUCAAGGUCUUCGAGAGACAGAUAGGUUCCCAUGAACACUCAUUGUCACCUCUCUUAUAAGACGCUUUCCCAACAACAACAUUAAAAGUGGUUGUUGGUCAUGGUUUGUGUUAGUGGCCUGUAUCAGUAAGUGGACUUUAGAGUGUUUGACAUAGUGCAAGGUGACCUAUUGAAUUUAUCAUUAAUUCCUGAAUAUCUUAUGCGAUCAUGAAUGGGACGAUAUGUUGGUUUUAACCGCAUUACUUGCAUUAUUUGACAUUUUGACAACUAAAUAUUAUGAAGUUUUUGUCAUGUAAUGUUUUAAUUCAUAAUUUUUAUAAUCAAUCUGUUGUUUUUGUUCACCUUGCUCGUGGGUGCCUUGAGUUGGACCGCAGACUCCCCUUAGGUGUUCCAAGUAGGAGUGGGGUUUGCUAUUCCUGUUUGUAAGUAGUCUUGGUAUGGAACUUCCUCCGACGUGAUGAAGACCAUAGGUACCGAACAUUGGCACCCUUGCAUAUGAAUGAAAUCAAACCAAAUUGAAGUGUUUAAUCAGAUGGCCAUGAAUCUUUUAGAAAGCAGAUGGCAAUUUCGUAUGUGAAGGAGGAAAUUCUCAAUCAAUCCAUGUUUUGCUAUGACUAUCAACAAAAAUCAAGUACAAUCACUUUGUCAUAUUGGGAUCCAUUUACUAAAGCCAGUUUUCAUACAUGAUUUAUCAUACAUUGCACUGUCGAGAUUGAAAAGCAUAAAUGGAUUGAAGAAGCAUGCGUGGCAAAUAAUAGAGGACAGAAUUUAAUUUCUUUUUUUUUUUUUUUUGUGUUAACAAGGUUAGAAUUUUUUAGUUUAUGUUACUAUGUUUUACUCAAUAAAAUAAAAGAUAACAUUUUUUUUUAAUUACAAUCUCUCUGCGCAUCGUGCGGGUAGUACAUUGUAGUUUUAUCAAUAA
Neltuma alba is the source of this 1106-nucleotide long non-coding RNA. RefSeq lists it as uncharacterized. The record is from RefSeq and is a predicted model, not a curated record. NCBI's taxonomy places the organism in Eukaryota, Viridiplantae, Streptophyta, Magnoliopsida, Fabales, Fabaceae. The transcript has 5 exons.